GAAAAAUAUAAAUUAAAGAUGCAGUAUCCUCCCUCCACGCUGGCCAGGAAAGCAGAUGCCAGACAGAACCUACAAAUAGGAACUUGCUCCAGUAUAGUUCUUCAAACCUGAUUUAUCCUUGAAGCUGAAACCAAGCUUGAAAAAUGCAACUGGAAUUCAGAGCAAAUUUCGCCUCAGAGCGCUGAAUAAACCACCAUCAUGUUCCAAUAUGCAAAUGUAUCAACAAUGAUGAAUACUUAAGGGAUUGAUUGCAUCCAAAAUCAUCGUGCUCGCCAUCUUCAGGGUAGCUCUUGUGACAGCAGAAGGUGUUACUUCUGCAGUGAGAGAGAGCCAAAGAUGUUGCCAGUGCCUAACUUUAGCUAGGAGCCCACAUACCAUUCCUCAAACCAGUAUCCUAAUCAGCCCAGGUGAAAAUUCUUCCCGUUUUGGAAGAUUAUAAUUAACUUCCUACUGAGCCAUGCUUAGAAAAAUGCCUCAACCUGAAAGAUUAAAUGGGAACUUAGUAUCUGUCAGAAAUAAUUCAGCAGUAGCUGUUUGUGUCUUGCAGUAUAAAGAUACCAAUUUAAAAUCA
Non-coding RNA from Taeniopygia guttata (zebra finch), 571 nucleotides. NCBI's taxonomy places the organism in Eukaryota, Metazoa, Chordata, Aves, Passeriformes, Estrildidae. The record is from RefSeq and is a predicted model, not a curated record.